UACGGGGGGAGCAAGCGUUGUUCGGAUUUACUGGGCGUAAAGGGCGCGUAGGCGGCCUCCGCAAGUCAGUUGUGAAAUCUCCGAGCUUAACUCGGAAAGGUCAACUGAUACUGCGGGGCUAGAGUGCGGAAGGGGCAACUGGAAUUCUCGGUGUAGCGGUGAAAUGCGUAGAUAUCAAGAGGAACACCUGCGGCGAAGGCGGGUUGCUGGGCCGACACUGACGCUGAGGCGCGAAAGCUAGGGGAGCGAACGGG
RNAcentral lists this ribosomal RNA (254 nucleotides) under uncultured bacterium. Its description in RNAcentral is "partial 16S ribosomal RNA". It matches the Rfam family "Bacterial small subunit ribosomal RNA", at positions 524 to 776 of the family's 1533-position model. The record is from RNAcentral.